CGGGAGUGGUGAUGGGCG
This 18-nucleotide microRNA is filed under the name Macrophomina phaseolina MS6. Its description in RNAcentral is "miR-1268". Lineage: Eukaryota; Fungi; Ascomycota; Dothideomycetes; Botryosphaeriales; Botryosphaeriaceae. The record is from RNAcentral.